UUGAGUGGUUGCUCUGGUGUUCUUUAUGGUUCGUAGGUGUUAGCGGUCAAGGCUAGGGCAUUGUCUGUUGCAUCUAAGGUAUGCUAUUGCUUGGGUGUUUCUGGAUUGUUGCUAAAUGGUUGAGAGAGCUGUCUGGUCAGUAGGUGGUAGUCUGGAGCUGCGUACCCAAGCUUAGCCUGCAGCUAAGGAAAAAUCAAAUAGACACCGGACCAACAUCGCAUCAACAUCUUAGGACUCAGUGUAACUUAACAACUGAAGAGAUCAUGUGGGGAAAUCUGACGGCAUUGACUGUUUGCCUUUUAGGCACAGUAUUCAUAGGUGGAGUUAGCAGCACCACAACAACAGAGGUUCCAAUAACAACCCCGGCUCCAGGUACAGCGAACCCGACAACCAUCGUUCCAUCAACAACACCAGAGAUUCCAAUUACAACAACGAAAACGACAACAGAGAAUCCAGCAACGGAAACGCCAACAGCGAAUCCAGCAACGAACUCGACAUCAGCAAAUCCAACAAAGCCUACGACAUCCGAAGGCACCCAGAAACCACACACCACCGACGCGGGGCCGGGGCCGGAGCCAGAGGGGCUGAGCGAUGGGGCAAUCGCAGGAAUUGCCGUCGGUUCAAUCGCCGGUGCGGCUGCCUUGGGUGGCGGUAUCUUUGGUCUGCUGAAGUACACUGGAAAGAUUUGAGGAGGGUUGAUUAGUGUUUUAAUAGUAGGUUUGAUGACCUUUGCUCUAUUGUUCGAUAUUUCAAAGAGUUCUAUGAUUUCCUGCUAUCAAUGCCUCCCUUGAAGAAACAUCUGACUUCAAUGCCAUAUAUUUUCAAAAUAUAAUUUAAUAUAUAAUUUAAAUAAUACGCAAAUACAGAGCUCGAAGGCCAUAGUUUGACAGGAUGUUUCAUGUCAAUGCAUGUAUAUAUUAGUUUUUUUAUAUCGUCAUUUUGGAAUUCUCUUGGGUGUCUGGGGAUUAUUUCAGGGGAACAUCCGUUUUAACGUUGGUUCUUACAGGCUACAGCUAAAUAUGUAGCCCAAAUAAAAUGCUAAAAUAUGAUUAAAAUGUUAACACAAUAAGCAACAAAUCACCAUUGUCGUCAUCUGUUCUUAUAUACAAUUGUAUUAGUUUAGCAACAGUCAACAAACUCUGGAAAAAAGCACAAAGGCAGUGCGUUAAACUUAGCUUCUUCUAUCUUGGAAUGGUUUAUCUGGGACCAUUAGGAUAUACUUCCAGUUUCCUUGGAUACAUUCAGAAUUUAUGGAAUUAAUCUGCUGGGAAUAUUAGAUAUUGACAGACAGUUUGUGAGGCUCAAAUAAAAUGUAAAAAUGCUCAAA
Long non-coding RNA from Gadus chalcogrammus (walleye pollock), 1327 nucleotides. RefSeq lists it as uncharacterized. The transcript has 5 exons. The record is from RefSeq and is a predicted model, not a curated record. Lineage: Eukaryota; Metazoa; Chordata; Actinopteri; Gadiformes; Gadidae.